Ribosomal RNA from Enterococcus thailandicus, 59 nucleotides. It matches the Rfam family "Bacterial small subunit ribosomal RNA", at positions 1 to 59 of the family's 1533-position model. The record is from Rfam. Lineage: Bacteria; Bacillati; Bacillota; Bacilli; Lactobacillales; Enterococcaceae.
UAUUAUGAGAGUUUGAUCCUGGCUCAGGACGAACGCUGGCGGCGUGCCUAAUACAUGCA